Molecule: ribosomal RNA, 504 nt
Filed under: uncultured Terrimonas sp.
Lineage: Bacteria; Pseudomonadati; Bacteroidota; Chitinophagia; Chitinophagales; Chitinophagaceae
Description: partial 16S ribosomal RNA
Source: RNAcentral
CACGGAGUUAGCCGGUGCUUAUUCACAUGGUACCGUCAGUUGAACUAGAAAGUCCCUUUUUCGUCCCAUAUAAAAGAAGUUUACAACCCAGAGGGCCUUCAUCCUCCACGCGGCAUGGCUGGUUCAGACUUUCGUCCAUUGACCAAUAUUCCUUACUGCUGCCUCCCGUAGGAGUCGGGCCCGUGUCUCAGUGCCCGUGUGACUGGUCGUGCUCUCACACCAGUUACUGAUCGCAGGCUUGGUGGGCCGUUACCCCGCCAACUACCUAAUCAGCCGCACACCCAUCUUCAAGUGAUAAAUCUUUAAUAUCAUCCCGAUGCCGGGUCAAUAUACUAUGGGGUAUUAAUCCAAAUUUCUCUGGGCUAUUCCCCGCUCGAAGGAAGGUUGUGUACGUGUUCCGCACCCGUUUGCCGGUCGCCAUCAGUGUAUUGCUACACCAUGCUGCCCCUCGACUUGCAUGUAUUAAGCCUGCCGCUAGCGUUCAUCCUGAGCCAGGAUCAAACU